UGCUCCUGGAUGAGCCUCUGUCCCUGUAAUCAGGAGCACAGAGCCUGUGAGUAAGCGAAGGACAAAUGCACCCUCAAGCCCUGCACUUCCCCUGCCGCCAGGGAUACAGUCUGACUCUGACCCUCAGGGUCGCGCCCUUUGUGCACUCCUGGCUCCUGAGGACAGCAAGUUCCGGUGCCGAGCCAGAAACUUCCCAACUCCAGACGCACAGAUCUAACGCUCUCUGCUGACCCUCCCCUUUGUGCAUCUAACGGGCUGCCGCUGAGCCUCGGCGUCCCCCGGUGUCCCCCCAGGGUCCCGGCAGCAGAAGAUCGAGAUCCAGCUGCAGGUGCAGGAGGCGGUGUCCGUGCAGGAGGGCCUGUGCGCGCUCGUGCCCUGCUCCUUCUCCUACCCCUGGAGCCCGUGGCCUGAGCCACCGCACAUCUCCUGGUUCUGGAACAGGCACAGCGUAUUCUACACUCCUCCCGUGGCCACAAACAAGCCGAACACACCAGUGAAUCCACAGCCCGUGUAGACAAGACUCAGCAUCUCCGUAACUUGGGGUCUCCCCUGCAAUGGGGAGCGGGGACCCCAGCUGGCUCUCCUCCCCGCGCCCAGCCCCGUGGUUCCAAGUUCCCCUUCCCGGGACGGCCGCAGCUCUCUCCUCCCCCCACCCCCUUCCUGUUGGGGCUCCUCGGCCCCACCCCCGCACUCGGGACGUUUCCUUCCCUGACAGGGGCCUGGACGCGCCCCGGCCCUGCAGACGCCGACAUGCUGCCGCUGCUUCUGCUGCCCCUGCUGUGGGCGGGGUCCCGGCAGCAGAAGAUCGAGAUCCAGCUGCAGGUGCAAGAGGCGGUGUCCGUGCAGGAGGGCCUGUGCGCGCUCGUGCCCUGCUCCUUCUCCUACCCCUGGAGCCUGUGGCCUGAGCCUCCGCACAUCUCCUGGCUCUGGAACAGGCACAGCGUAUCCUACACUCCUCCCGUGGCCACAAACAAGCCGAACACACCGGUGAAUCCACAGACGCAGGGCCGGUUCCGCCUCCUCGGGGACCCGAGGACCAACUGCUCCCUGCACAUCAGGGACGCACGGAGGAGCGACGCGGGGACCUACCUGGUCCGAGUGGAGAGACGAAGGAGGGGAAGCUAUUACUACGGAGAUGAGAGGCUGGCCUUGCGGGUGACAGACCUGACAGAGACCCCCGACAUCCGCUUUCCGGAACCUCUGGAGUCCGGCCGCCCCACAAACCUGACCUGCAGCCUGCCAGGGGCCUGUGAGGGGAGCCGAGCACUCACCUUCUCCUGGUCGGGGGCUGCCCUUAACUCCUCGGACCCCAGAACCCUCCACUCCUCGGUGCUCACCCUCACCCCGAGGCCCCAGGACCACGGCACCAACCUCACCUGUCGGGUGCAACUCCAGGAAGCCCCAGGGGCCACAGAGAGGACUGUGCAGCUCCCCGUCUCCUGUGAGUGCCCUGUGGGCAGUGGGGGCAGAAGGGGAAGGUCAGGUCCUGGGGUUCUAUCUCCAGAGGGGACUGAGGGAAGUCCCCAAACCCUUCCCUUCCUUUUCUAUGAGUCCUCGGGCAAAGGGCAUAAGCCCCACCUGUCCCCCUCAGCACAUCCUCUCCUGCCAGCCUCUCCUGGGUUCCUGACCACCAGCUUUCCCCUGGGAAACCUCACAGGCCCCUCUGGCUGCCGUGUGUGUCCCGGGAGGAGGAGGGCUCCUGGCCCCUGGUCCUCACCCUGAUCAGGGGCUCCCUCAUGGCAGCUGGCUUCCUCCUCACUUAUGGCCUCACCUGGAUCUACUACACCAGGUGUGGAGGUCCCCACGGGAGCAGGGCCGAGAGGGUGACUGAGGCCGCCUCCUUCUCAAGACAGGGCUGAGGUGGGGACAUGGAGCCCAGAGGGACAGACGUGGGGACAUCACAUCACCGUCUCCCUGGAAACACGCUGCCCACACCCCACUGAUUGCCCCUGCCCCACCCUCCAUCUCCUGCCCCCUCCUGACUGACACCCCCAGCUUUGUGGUUGAAGGGUUAGCUCUUGUGCCUCUGUCCUCCCCACCCCACACUGCAUUUCGCCUUUUUAACACUCAAGCUUCUGGCCUCCUAAACUUUCCUAUCAGUUUGUCUGUAGACAUAAAUACGUCUCCUCUCUCACCACUAAAGACCCUUGUCUCAUUAUACUCAACAUAAAAUAUUACAAUAUAUAGUUAGUGAAGGUUUUAUUAAACAACAUACAAUAUAAAAUAGAAUCCAUAAAAGACCAAUUUUAUUAAUUAUGACCUCCAUGGCAAUUUUUUAGAGCAAAGUUUUUUGUUCUUUCUUAUUUUAAAAAGUUUCAGCUAACUCUUCUUUAGUCAUCAUUUUUAUUGAGGUUGAAGCCACAUGGAGUGUGCAAAUCUCAAACAAACCAUUAGAUGAGCUUUUAGAUAUGUCUCAUACACUCAUGAAGUCAUCACCCAAAUCAAGAAACAGAAUAAUCCCAGCACCCCGAAGCCCCUGUCAGUCAACACAACUCACACGUCACCUCCAUUCUCCCUCGUGGUGAGACUGUAGACCAGGAGUUCCAGGUGGUUUUUUUAAUUGCAUAUGAGUGGCAUCAAGCAAUAUGUAUGUUUGGGGUCUGGCUUCUUUUGCUAAGUAUUUCUUUUUGAGUAUCAACCAUGUUGAUUCCUCUUAAUAUCGAUGCUGAGCUGUAUUCCUUGUUGCAACUAUACCUCCAUGAAUUUUUCCACGGGUUGUUUCCAUUCAGGGCUUUAUUACUGACUUUGCUCUGAAUACUUUUCUCAUGGCUAUAUGCCAAGGAGUGCAAUGGCCACUUAUGGGACAGCAUUUGUUUAGCUUUGGUGGACACUGCCAAAUGUUUGUUCAAAGUGGGGGUGCCAACUGUGGCAGUUUGAAGCUGUUAUUUUUCCCAGAAAAGAUCCGUGUUCUUUUAAUUGAUUCCUGUGAGUGUACACCUAUUGUGGAUGGGACCUUUUUAUUAUUUAUUGAUUUUGGAUCAAGCUACUAUGCCAAAUUCACAUAUUAAUUCCAAUAGUUUGCUUAUAAAACUUUUUGGAUUUUCUAAGUGUUACUAUCCUGUCGUAGAAAACAAUGACACUUUAAUUCUUCCUUUCAAAGUGUUAUGUCUUUUAUUAUUCAUCCUGCUUCAUUGCACCCCCUAGUAAUUUCACUACAAUUUUGAAUAGAAGUGGUAUUAGUGGAUAUAUUUGAUUCUUUUCUUGACCUUGGGGGCAAAGUGUACAAUAUUCCAGUAUUAAAUAUGAUACUUGGAAGCCUAUGCCACAUAAGUGCAGUGAAUCCACAGUGGUUCCCACCAAAACAAUACUCCUUCACAUUAUAAUUGGUUCACAUACAGGUUUUAGAAGUGUGUUAAAUUCAUUGGUCAUAGUUUAACAUUUGGAGAUAUUGCACAGUAAUCUGGACAUCUAACUUUUCUUGAAAUUUUGGAGUAUCUGGCAUUCGCACAUACAGUGACCACCGGGGGUGGAGCAGGAGCUGGCCCCUCACCUUGCUGCACCCCCCACCCCCGCCCAGGUGCUACCAUCUCCCCUGCACUGAGCCCUUUUGUCAGUUCAUGUGCUGCAGUGUUUUUCUUAACCUAGGCCUAUUACGCUCAUUUUCUAUCCCUAACUCCCUCCUGUAGAGAUUUAAUUUUUUUUUUUUUGUAGAGAUUUAAUUUUGUAACUCCUGGGAAAAAAGAUACACUGACCCAUCAAAUAAAAAUUCCUCUAGCCAAGGG
Molecule: RNA transcript, 3722 nt
Organism: Choloepus didactylus (southern two-toed sloth)
Lineage: Eukaryota; Metazoa; Chordata; Mammalia; Pilosa; Megalonychidae
Gene name: sialic acid-binding Ig-like lectin 14
Exons: 6
Source: RefSeq, a predicted model, not a curated record